UACGUAGGGUGCGAGCGUUAAUCGGAAUUACUGGGCGUAAAGCGUGCGCAGGCGGUUUUGUAAGCCAGAUGUGAAAUCCCCGGGCUUAACCUGGGAAUGGCAUUUGGGACUGCAAGGCUGGAGUGUGGCAGAGGAGACUGGAAUUCCUGGUGUAGCAGUGAAAUGCGUAGAUAUCUGGAGGAACACCGGUGGCGAAGGCGGCAUCCUGGACCGGCAUUGACGCUGAUGAGCGAAAGCCAGGGGAGCAAACGGG
This 253-nucleotide ribosomal RNA is filed under the name uncultured bacterium. RNAcentral describes it as "partial 16S ribosomal RNA". It matches the Rfam family "Bacterial small subunit ribosomal RNA", at positions 524 to 776 of the family's 1533-position model. The record is from RNAcentral.